This 68-nucleotide transfer RNA is filed under the name Marmota monax (woodchuck). RNAcentral describes it as "tRNA.Ala". Lineage: Eukaryota; Metazoa; Chordata; Mammalia; Rodentia; Sciuridae. The record is from RNAcentral.
GUUGUGGCUCAGUGGUAGAGCACUUGCCUAGCAUGUGUAGGCCCCUGGGUUUGAUCCUCAGCACCACA